GGGAGUGGGGGGUGGGGGUGGGGGGUGGAGGGGGAGUCUGGAGGCUCUGGGGGGCUCAGUGUGCACAGGCUGACCCCGGCCAUCCACCCUCAGGGGUACUAAGCAGUAAAGCUGACACUGCUCUUUGAAUCCCUAGUUGACUCCCGCAUUUUACAGAUGAGGAAACUGAGGCCCAGACAGCAGGAGUGUCCUGGGCCGGCGGCGGCGGCUGCCCCGAGGGACGCGGCCCUAGGCGGUGGCCAUGGGGGCCGCCAGGAUCGCGCCCGGCCUGGCGCUCCUGCUCUGCUGCCCGGUCCUCAGCUCCGCAUACGCGCUGGUAAGUGCCCCGCCAGCACGCCGGGACGGCCACCGGCCCCGCGGUCCCUGCAGGGGCGCCGCGGGCUUG
This 385-nucleotide long non-coding RNA is filed under the name Dasypus novemcinctus (nine-banded armadillo). Its description in RNAcentral is "lncRNA (ENSDNOG00000051059.1)". Lineage: Eukaryota; Metazoa; Chordata; Mammalia; Cingulata; Dasypodidae. The record is from RNAcentral.